Molecule: long non-coding RNA, 250 nt
Filed under: Hordeum vulgare
Lineage: Eukaryota; Viridiplantae; Streptophyta; Magnoliopsida; Poales; Poaceae
Description: long non-coding RNA (HVUL_LNC002906)
Source: RNAcentral
GCACACACCAGAUUAUUCCAAGAAGACCUCGGGAGGAUCAUGGCCGGCGUGAACACCAGCGUUGUCGGCCUCAAGCCCGCCGCGGCGGUGCCGCAGUCGGCCUCGCCCGCGGCGGCAAAGCGCGUGCAGGUCGCCCCGGCCAAGGACCGGCGGUCGGCGCUUCUCGGCCUGGCGGCCGUCUUCGCCGCCACCGCCGCCUCCGCCGCCUCCGCCAGGGCAAGCGUCUUCGACGAGUACCUCGAGAAGAGCA